CGGAUAUCUGCUCUCUGCUCAGCC
Molecule: non-coding RNA, 24 nt
Filed under: Arabidopsis thaliana (thale cress)
Lineage: Eukaryota; Viridiplantae; Streptophyta; Magnoliopsida; Brassicales; Brassicaceae
Source: RNAcentral